Molecule: ribosomal RNA, 377 nt
Filed under: Avibacterium gallinarum
Lineage: Bacteria; Pseudomonadati; Pseudomonadota; Gammaproteobacteria; Pasteurellales; Pasteurellaceae
Description: bacterial SSU rRNA
Rfam family: Bacterial small subunit ribosomal RNA
Source: RNAcentral
UUAAACUGAAGAGUUUGAUCAUGGCUCAGAUUGAACGCUGGCGGCAGGCUUAACACAUGCAAGUCGAACGGUAACGGGUUGAAAGCUUGCUUUCGAUGCUGACGAGUGGCGGACGGGUGAGUAAUGCUUGGGAAUCUGGCUUAUGGAGGGGGAUAACCAUUGGAAACGAUGGCUAAUACCGCAUAGUAUCGAAAGAUUAAAGGGUGGGACGUUUAGCCACCUGCCAUAAGAUGAGCCCAAGUGGGAUUAGGUAGUUGGUGGGGUAAAGGCCUACCAAGCCUGCGAUCUCUAGCUGGUCUGAGAGGAUGGCCAGCCACACUGGGACUGAGACACGGCCCAGACUCCUACGGGAGGCAGCAGUGGGGAAUAUUGCGCAA